Arabidopsis thaliana (thale cress) is the source of this 199-nucleotide non-coding RNA. The record is from RefSeq. Lineage: Eukaryota; Viridiplantae; Streptophyta; Magnoliopsida; Brassicales; Brassicaceae.
AGUUGUCGUCAAACUUGGGAUUCGGUUUAGGACCAAGAUUCAUAUUACUACGGGUGUGACACGCACGCAAAUUAAGGGGGCACGACAAAGAGAAUAUAUAGGAAGAAGAGAUUUAGGAGUCACGUGUGCACGUGCCGUGUGUAAGACUCGAGUGGCUUUGUCAUCAACCAUGACCCAGCGUCUGGUUUUGACCUCGUGG